GGAGAAUUACCCAAGUGGCUUAAGGGGCUCGAUUGGAAAUCGUGUAGGUCAUGAUGAGUGGCGCGAGGGUUCAAAUCCCUCAUUCUCCGCCA
Molecule: transfer RNA, 92 nt
Filed under: Clostridiales bacterium
Lineage: Bacteria; Bacillati; Bacillota; Clostridia; Eubacteriales
Description: tRNA-Ser
Rfam family: tRNA
About the family: Transfer RNA (tRNA) molecules are approximately 80 nucleotides in length.
Source: RNAcentral